AGGACCCGAGAGCGACCUAUAAGGGUAGAGAGGAAGCGGUUAGGCAAAGAAAGAAAUCAUUGAAUGGCUGGAGGUAGGAACGGGCCAAGCCCAUUUGUGUGAUUGUGAGGACCUUCGAAACUGAAUCUACUGGCAGCCAGCAGGCGAGAUCUCAACGACUCUGUCUUCUUCUUCCUUUUGCAUCAAAUCCCUUUCUCUGUCUCCAUCUCGCUCUUGCUCCUCAAGAUUGACGAGAUGGAGAGUUUGCCCACCACCGCCAAACCCGAAAGGCGUCCUCGAUCCAAGCCUCUUCACGCCUCCAAACCCUCCAUUCUUCUGGCAUUCUUCUCUUGUCUUGCGUGGCUCUAUGUUGCUGGCAGGCUCUGGCAAGAUGCAGAAAAUAGGAAAAUACUUGCUAGUCUUUUACAGAAGAACGCAUCCCAGAGACCCGUGAUUUUGAGCGUUGAAGAUAAGCUGCAAGUCCUGGGUUGCAAAGAUUUGGAGAGAAGGAUUGCGGAAGUUGAGAUGGAUUUAACAUUAGCAAAGAGUCAAGGGUACCUGAAGAAUCAACUGCGACAAAGUGGAUCUUCUUCUGACCCUGGUCGUAAGCUCCUUGCGGUUAUCGGUGUUUAUACAGGAUUUGGAAGUCGACUAAGGCGGAAUGUAUUCAGAGGAUCUUGGAUGCCAAAAGGUGAUGCAUUGAAAAAGUUGGAGGAAAGAGGGGUGGUCAUACGCUUUGUUAUUGGUCGGAGCGCAAAUCGAGGUGAUAGCUUAGACCGCAAUAUUGACAAGGAAAAUGAUUCAACCAAGGACUUCUUGAUACUUGAAGGUCAUGAAGAAGCUGACGAAGAGUUACCUAAAAAGGCCAAGUUCUUUUUCAGUACAGCAGUUCAAAAUUGGGAUGCAGAAUUUUAUGUGAAAGUCGAUGACAACAUUGACCUUGAUCUUGAGGGUUUAAUUGGGCUUUUUGAACAUCGUCGUGGUCAAGAUGGUACUUACGUUGGAUGCAUGAAAUCUGGAGAUGUGAUUGCUGAAGAAGGAAAGCAGUGGUAUGAACCUGAAUGGUGGAAGUUUGGAGAUGAGAAAUCGUACUUCCGGCAUGCAUCUGGUGCGCUUAUUAUCCUCUCCAAGAAUUUGGCUCAGUAUAUUAAUAUUAACAGUGCAUCUUUGAAGACUUAUGCACAUGACGAUAUAUCAGUGGGGUCAUGGAUGAUUGGUCUCCAGGCUACUCAUAUAGAUGAUAAUCGACUGUGCUGCAGUAGUGUUAGACAAGACAAGGUGUGUUCCGUGGUUUAAUUGAUCCAGAAUAACCGAGAGCGUUAGUUUAUCUGGACAUUCAGCUAAUUUUGCGGAGCUUAGACAAUUCUUUUGCUACAGUUUAAUGUGCCUGAGUUUAUUUACCCUCCAGCUGAGCUGAUGCGGGGGAAUCUCGACGUGUUCACUAGAUUCCUCUUCUCGGAUGCUGAGGACUGGGUUUGCCAUGCGAGAUUGAGUGGAAUGUGGCCUAUAUGGAACCAACUAGUUAGUUCGAGUCCAAGAGAUGAAGUUUUCUGUUUCAAGUAUCAAACUUUUAAGAAUGUUAUCACUUUAUGGAAAACAUAAGCUGUUCAUAAUUUUCUUGUCCGAGUCCAAGAGAUCAUUGUUUCUUGUUCUUUCUUCUCUUAUGAAAAAAAAAAAUG
Molecule: RNA transcript, 1658 nt
Organism: Benincasa hispida (wax gourd)
Lineage: Eukaryota; Viridiplantae; Streptophyta; Magnoliopsida; Cucurbitales; Cucurbitaceae
Gene name: hydroxyproline O-galactosyltransferase HPGT3-like
Source: RefSeq, a predicted model, not a curated record